GCUCCAAUUAAUAGCUCCAAACUAAUAGAGGAAGAGGGUUCUCAUUUCAAAUUGUCCAAUAUCAUCAUUAUCUAGAUAAUGCAUCCGUCGGGUAAGUUCUUACCGAUUCUCACUCCACCAGGUGCCAAAGCACUGCUGUCACCAAACACGGCAUUCUUGUUCACAGUGAUGUUUGCAAGGUCACAUAGUUUUUCAACCUUGUUGCCUGGAAGAACAUUAUUUGAAGGAUCAAAUUUCACAUCAGAUUAAACCAACAUGCAUGACCCAGAAACUUUACAAUUCAAUUCUUUACCUGUCAACCCAAGGGGCCUAAGAUCCCACAGAACAAGGUGGUUCUCGGUGCCUUCAGUAACAAGCUUGUAUCCCUUGCUCAUCAAGUAGUUUCCAAGGGCAACUGCAUUGGCCUUGACUUGCUUAGCAUAGGCCUUGAACCCAGGGCUCUGGGCCUGUUUCAAUGCAACAGCCAGAGCACCAAUCUGGUGGUUGUGAGGACCACCCUGAAGAGAUGGGAAAACUGCAAAGUUGAUCUUGUCUUCA
This 537-nucleotide long non-coding RNA is filed under the name Populus trichocarpa (black cottonwood). RNAcentral's name for it is "long non-coding RNA (PTRI_LNC003795)". Lineage: Eukaryota; Viridiplantae; Streptophyta; Magnoliopsida; Malpighiales; Salicaceae. The record is from RNAcentral.